RNAcentral lists this ribosomal RNA (1266 nucleotides) under Triticum aestivum (bread wheat). Its description in RNAcentral is "partial small subunit ribosomal RNA". The record is from RNAcentral. Lineage: Eukaryota; Viridiplantae; Streptophyta; Magnoliopsida; Poales; Poaceae.
AUGGCGCGCGUCGCCGCCUCUAGGCUCGCCGCCGUCGUNNNNNNNNNNNNNNNNNAGCUCGAGGUGUUCUCCCGCCAUCUCCCCGCCGCCUCGUCGGCGUGGGGCACCCCGUCGCGGCUUCUCGAUCCAGCGAGGGAGAGAAGGAGCCCGAGUUGGUGGUGUCCGAGCAGGUCGUUCCAUGCCACAGUGAGGGUGAAUGCAAGGGAUUACUAUGGUGUGCUCGGAGUGAGCUCGGAUGCUUCUGCAUCAGACAUAAAGAAGGCAUAUUAUGGGCUUGCAAAGAAGUUCCACCCUGAUACUAAUAAAGAUGAUUCUGGCGCAGAAAAGAAAUUCCAAGAAGUUAACCGGGCCUAUGAGGUUUUGAAGGAUGAUGAUAAGCGCGAAACAUAUGAUCAGCUUGGAGUUGAAGCUUAUGAGCGCCUAGCAUCAGGGGGUGGCCCAGAUGGUUCCCCUGAUAGCGGUGGGGACUUUGCUGGUGAUAAUCCAUUUAGUGAUAUUUUUACCGAUAUCUUUGACAGAGGAGGCCAAGAUGUCCAGGUUCCUGUUGAAUUGUCAUUCAUGGAAGCUGUCCAAGGAUGCAGAAAAACUAUUACAUACGAGGCUGAUGUUCUCUGUGGGACCUGCAAUGGAAGUGGCGUUCCACCUGGCACUAUACCUCAAACAUGUAAAGCUUGUAGAGGUGCUGGUGUGACAUUCAUCCAGAGGGGUAUGUUGAGUUUUGAAUCUACUUGUUCUCGGUGCGGUGGAAGCGGAAAAAUUGUGAAGAAUUUUUGCAAGACAUGUAAGGGCCAACAGCUUGUCAAGGGAAAAAAAUCAGUCAAGCUUGACAUAAUGGCUGGAAUUGAUGACAAUGAGACUAUAAAGGUUCGUGGUCAGGGUGGUGCAGAUGCGGAGCGCAAUAAACCUGGUGACCUUCUUUUGACUAUCAAGGUCAGAGAGGAUCCUAUCUUCCGUAGAGAAGGCAACCAUGUGCAUGUUGAUGCUGUUCUAAGCAUGGCCCAGGCUGUGCUAGGUGGGACUGUUACAAUACCUACCCUCACCGGAAAUGUUUCAGUCAAGGUUCGCCAAGGUACGCAACCAGGAGAGAAGGUUGUCCUACGGGGCAAAGGAAUAAAGGCGAAGAAUUCGUCAUCGUACGGGAACCAUUAUGUUCACUUCAACAUCAGAGUCCCAACGGAGCUGACACCACGGCAACGGGAGCUGAUGGAGGAGUUUGAUAAAGAGGAGAGCAACGACGUGGCGAGAGUUGCGGCUGCAUCUGGAUGA